RNAcentral lists this unclassified non-coding RNA (115 nucleotides) under uncultured Bullera. RNAcentral describes it as "sequence contains ITS1". The record is from RNAcentral. Lineage: Eukaryota; Fungi; Basidiomycota; Tremellomycetes; Tremellales.
AUGAUUGACCGAAAGGUCUUAUCAACUAUCCAACACCUCUUGUGAACCGUUGACCUCCGGGUCUCUUACAUACAAACAUCAGUGUAACGAACGUCUUGUUAUCUUAACAAAAACA